RNAcentral lists this long non-coding RNA (209 nucleotides) under Elaeis guineensis (African oil palm). Its description in RNAcentral is "long non-coding RNA (EGUI_LNC028146)". Lineage: Eukaryota; Viridiplantae; Streptophyta; Magnoliopsida; Arecales; Arecaceae. The record is from RNAcentral.
UCUCUCCCUAGUGGUUCAUAAUAUGGACCCAAAAUUCUCCUCUUCCUCUCCUACAAAUAUGUUCAAGUGUUAAACAUGAUUAAAAUCAGAUUUGAUCUGAUUUUUGCCUAUUCCUCUUAGUUCAUGAGAUGGACAAAAAUUCUUCUCUCUCUUUUUUAGAUCUAGUCCAAGGGUUAGACAAGAAAGGAUGAAGAAAGAGAUUUGAUCUC